This 1051-nucleotide unclassified non-coding RNA is filed under the name Hevea brasiliensis (rubber tree). Lineage: Eukaryota; Viridiplantae; Streptophyta; Magnoliopsida; Malpighiales; Euphorbiaceae. The record is from RNAcentral.
ACCGGCGAGCCUGUGAAUGAACCGAUAGAAAUUCUAGUAGUUCUACAGAUCUUAGAAACCCUAAUUAUUAUAUUCUGUAAAGAUGGCGACUGAAGAGCCGGUUGUAGCAAUCGAGCCUGUGAAUGAACCGAUGGUCGUAGCUGAACCUGCGACGGAAGAAAAUCCACCGGCGGAGACUGAUGAACCAAAGAAAGAGAAGGAGAUCAAGGCGAAAAAAUCAUCUGCUCCGAGGAAGAGAAAUCCUCCGACUCAUCCUUCCUACUUUGAGAUGAUUAAGGAAGCGAUUGUAACAUUGAAGGAUAAAACUGGAUCGAGUCAGUAUGCGAUCACAAAGUUCAUUGAAGAUAAGCAGAAAAAUCUUCCAUCAAAUUUCAGGAAAAUGUUGCUUGCUCAAUUGAAGAAGCUUGUGGCUUCUGGUAAACUUGUCAAGGUGAAGAGCUCCUACAAGCUUCCAGCUCCAAAGGCAGCUGCUCCUGCUCUUGCUAAGAAAAAGUCCAUAGCUAAGCCAAAAGCAGCACAGGCAAAGAAGGCCACCAAGGCAAAGCCGAAGCCAAAACCAAAGGUUGCUGCUCCAAAGGCCAAAACUGCUACCAAAUCAAAAGCUAAGCCAAAGCCUGUUGUUGCUGCCAAAGCUAAACCAGCUGCAAAGCCUAAGGCAGUUGUAGCAAAGCCGAAAGCAGCUGUAAAGCCUAAAGCCCCUGUAAAAGCUAAGGCUGCUGUAAAGCCAAAAGCGGCUAAUGAGAAGCCAGCUAAGGUAGCAAGGACAUCUACUAGGUCGACUCCGUCGAGGAAAGCUGCACCGAAGCCAGCUGUGAAAAAGGCACCGGUGAAGAGUGUGAAAUCUAAGACCGUGAAGUCGCCGGCGAAGAAAGCAUCCGCCAGGAAGGCAAAGAAGUGAUCGAAUGUAGGAGGAAGGGUAGCAUUGUAAAUUUCUUGGAUCUUUGUGGGUGGUUUGUAUCUGCGGCCCAAUAUAGAAAAUAGUAUUUUAAAUUCCAGUUGUAAUUUUCGUUUUUUUUAUUUUAUAUAAUAAUCCAUUUUAGUUGAGUUUAUG